This 976-nucleotide ribosomal RNA is filed under the name Fissuroma maculans. Its description in RNAcentral is "SSU rRNA". It matches the Rfam family "Eukaryotic small subunit ribosomal RNA", at positions 123 to 1107 of the family's 1831-position model. The record is from RNAcentral. Lineage: Eukaryota; Fungi; Ascomycota; Dothideomycetes; Pleosporales; Aigialaceae.
GAUAGUACCUUACUACUUGGAUAACCGUGGUAAUUCUAGAGCUAAUACAUGCUAAAAACCCCGACUUCGGGAGGGGUGUAUUUAUUAGAUAAAAAACCAAUGCCCUUCGGGGCUCUUUGGUGAUUCAUGAUAACUUAACGGAUCGCAUGGCCUUGCGCCGGCGACGGUUCAUUCAAAUUUCUGCCCUAUCAACUUUCGAUGGUAAGGUAUUGGCUUACCAUGGUUUCAACGGGUAACGGGGAAUUAGGGUUCGAUUCCGGAGAGGGAGCCUGAGAAACGGCUACCACAUCCAAGGAAGGCAGCAGGCGCGCAAAUUACCCAAUCCCGACACGGGGAGGUAGUGACAAUAAAUACUGAUACAGGGCUCUUUUGGGUCUUGUAAUUGGAAUGAGUACAAUUUAAACCCCUUAACGAGGAACAAUUGGAGGGCAAGUCUGGUGCCAGCAGCCGCGGUAAUUCCAGCUCCAAUAGCGUAUAUUAAAGUUGUUGCAGUUAAAAAGCUCGUAGUUGAACCUUGGGCCUGGCUGGCCGGUCCGCCUCACCGCGUGCACUGGUCCGGCCGGGCCUUUCCUUCUGGAGAGCCCCAUGCCCUUCACUGGGUGUGCGGGGGAACCAGGACUUUUACUUUGAAAAAAUUAGAGUGUUCAAAGCAGGCCUUUGCUCGAAUACAUUAGCAUGGAAUAAUAAAAUAGGACGUGCGGUCCUAUUUUGUUGGUUUCUAGGACCGCCGUAAUGAUUAAUAGGGAUAGUCGGGGGCAUCCGUAUUCAAUUGUCAGAGGUGAAAUUCUUGGAUUUAUUGAAGACGAACUACUGCGAAAGCAUUUGCCAAGGAUGUUUUCAUUAAUCAGUGAACGAAAGUUAGGGGAUCGAAGACGAUCAGAUACCGUCGUAGUCUUAACCGUAAACUAUGCCGACUAGGGAUCGGGCGAUGUUACUAUUUUGACUCGCUCGGCACCUUACGAGAAAUCAAAGUUUU